GGUUGGCCUGGGGCACCCCGGGUGGCCCGGACUCAGGGGGAAGUGGGUGAACGGCCAGCAGACGGGCGUUUGGAGGGAAAUCUAGCGCCUUCCUGUCGACCCCGCAAGUUCCACGUGUGGUGUGGGGCCUGGGAGCGGGUCUGUGAGUGAGGAAGAGCGGGAUUCACCGGCAGGCUGGCCAGGGGAGGUGGGCGGAGCUUACCUGGGCAGAUGCCCCUCCCCCGGUUUCCACGUCCCAUGCACCUCUGGGUCUCCAGGCAGAACCCCGUGUCCAGAGAGUGGCCGGGACCCAGGAGCUCGUCCACACUCCAACAGGGGUGGACCUGCAGCCCCACGCUCCCCCCCACACUGUGGCCUGAGUCAGGGCAGGACCACGGCCGGCUGCUGGGUGCCGCGCCCCGAGAGGCCGCGCCCUGUCCUGGGAGACGCAGGGGCAGCCCUGCCGCCGGGGAGGGGCCUGGACCACGUGCAACUACAGCCUUAGAUUUGCUGCCACUUCGUACCAGCAACUGCACUGUGAGGGGUGGGCCCCGAAGACCCUGUGACACAGCCCUG
Molecule: long non-coding RNA, 555 nt
Organism: Phyllostomus discolor (pale spear-nosed bat)
Lineage: Eukaryota; Metazoa; Chordata; Mammalia; Chiroptera; Phyllostomidae
Exons: 3
Source: RefSeq, a predicted model, not a curated record